CCCUUAGAUGUUCUGGGCCGCACGCGCGCUACACUGACAGAGCCAGCGAGUUAUUUCACCUUGGCCGGAAGGCUCCGGGUAAUCUUGUGAAACUCUGGUCGUGCUUUGGGAUCGAGCAUUGCAAUUAUUGCUCGUGAACGAGGAAUACCUAGUAAGCGCAAGUCAUCAGCUUGCGUUGAUUACGUCCCUGCCCUUUGUACACACCGCCCGUCGCUACUACCGAUUGAAUGGCUUAGUGAGGCCUCAGGAUCCGCGCUUAAUGUGUGGAGAAUUUGGACAAACUACGUCAUUUAGAGGAAGUAAAAGUCGUAACA
This 314-nucleotide ribosomal RNA is filed under the name uncultured eukaryote. RNAcentral's name for it is "partial 18S ribosomal RNA". It matches the Rfam family "Eukaryotic small subunit ribosomal RNA", at positions 1470 to 1796 of the family's 1831-position model. The record is from RNAcentral.